Non-coding RNA from Xyrichtys novacula (pearly razorfish), 440 nucleotides. The record is from the annotation of a GenBank genome assembly. Lineage: Eukaryota; Metazoa; Chordata; Actinopteri; Labriformes; Labridae.
GGCAGAAAGACACUCGUUUCGGAACUCCGACUGCAGCGAAUAUGCCUGAACAAGUGAAAGCAUCGAAGAAGGGCUCCAAGAAGGCCGUCUCUAAGGCGACCAAGAGCGGCAAGAAGAGAAAGAGGACCAGGAAGGAGAGCUAUGCUAUCUACGUCUACAAGGUCCUGAAGCAGGUCCACCCCGACACCGGCAUCUCCUCCAAGGCUAUGGGUAUCAUGAACUCCUUUGUCGGUGAUAUCUUUGAGCGCAUCGCCGGUGAGGCCUCUCGUCUGGCUCACUACAACAAGCGUUCCACCAUCACCUCCAGGGAGAUUCAGACCGCUGUCCGUCUGCUGUUGCCCGGAGAGCUGGCUAAGCACGCCGUGUCCGAGGGUACCAAGGCCGUGACCAAGUAUACUAGCUCCAAGUAAACCUGCUGAGGCGAAACUAAAAUCCAAAGG